Molecule: long non-coding RNA, 998 nt
Organism: Ricinus communis (castor bean)
Lineage: Eukaryota; Viridiplantae; Streptophyta; Magnoliopsida; Malpighiales; Euphorbiaceae
Exons: 2
Source: RefSeq, a predicted model, not a curated record
UCUUUACUUUUGUCUUUCUUUCUCUUUUUUAUUUUUACUUUUUUCUUUUAAAUAACUUGUGGUUUCUAAUUUCAAAAUAAGAAAAUAAUAAUAAUACUUCUCCUUUUUCUUUCUUUUACUUUACUUUUUAUCCUAAUGUUAUCCUCACGCGCCUCCAUCAAGUGUCUGCAUUUCUUUUUAAAAAUAAAAAUUGCUUAAACAAAAUAAAUAAACUUUACAAAUUAAAUCCAAAACAUAGUUUUUUUUUUUUUUUCUUAAAAAAGAAAAAUGGAAUAAUGAAUGGUUAAGGAUAAUACACAAACCAGCCAAAAUAAAUAUAAAACUUGAUAAAAAAAAAGUGGGUAUUUAAUAUCCUCAGCCAAUCUCAUUAAAGAUGGAUAUGGAAAUCAAUAGAAUUGCAACUCAUAUGUUCCAUAAACUUUUCUACUAGCAAUACCAUUGUGAAAAAGCCUCCAAACAAAAAGGAUAGAAUUUUUUUGGAAGAGCAAACUGAGUUCUAUCUUUUGAACUUCAAGAACCCAUUACCAAAAUGAUCAAUCCUUUCCCUUUCCCUUCAAUUUGCAACCUGGACAGUCAGGACAGGAGGAGGACAAAAGGAGGGAUAUGUUUGAUGGUUUCAACCUCCACUCAUGAUGAGCAUAGAUUUUUGCAAAACAGCAUCGUUCCAUCUGAUGGUUGUGCAAUGAUGGUUCACCCUGUUGGUGGUGAAAUAUUAAUGGUGAUGGUUAAAUGGUAGUGGCAGUCGUAGAAGUUAGCCAGUCGCAACAAUGAUAGUGCUCGUUCAUUGGCCGGGAUGAUGGUCAGACCAAUGGUGGACCGUGAUUCAAAAACAUUGGAGGUUCAGCAGCAGUUGGUUAGCAAUGGCAGGAGACAACAACAAUAAUACUGUACCAAUGUUCAUUUUACUACUAAAAGAUCCAAUACCAUUCAGUUGAAUCUAAAUAGUGUUGUAACCUAAAUUAUAAGCUUAAGAUCUAUGUACUCCAUAUUGUCAAUAA